This 388-nucleotide ribosomal RNA is filed under the name uncultured eukaryote. RNAcentral's name for it is "partial 18S ribosomal RNA". It matches the Rfam family "Eukaryotic small subunit ribosomal RNA", at positions 592 to 976 of the family's 1831-position model. The record is from RNAcentral.
CAAUAGCGUAUAUUAAAGUUGUUGCAGUUAAAAAGCUCGUAGUUGGAUUUCUGAUCGAGACAUCAGGUCGGGUCCGAGAGGAUCAUGUACUUUGAUUUUGUUUUGAUCAUCCUUGGGGAAAGCAUUUCUGGCAUUCAGUUGUCGGGAUUGGGAUCCUCAUCGUUUACUGUGAAAAAAUUAGAGUGUUCAAAGCAGGCCUCGGCCUCUGAAUACAUUAGCAUGGAAUAAUAAGAUAGGACUUUGGUGGUCUAUUUUGUUGGUUUGCACGCCAAAGUAAUGAUUAAUAGGGAUAGUUGGGGGUAUUCGUAUUCAAUUGUCAGAGGUGAAAUUCUUGGAUUUAUGGAAGACGAACUACUGCGAAAGCAUUUACCAAGGAUGUUUUCAUUAA